Molecule: ribosomal RNA, 499 nt
Filed under: uncultured bacterium
Lineage: Bacteria
Description: partial 16S ribosomal RNA
Rfam family: Bacterial small subunit ribosomal RNA
Source: RNAcentral
AUUGAACGCUGGCGGAAUGCUUUACACAUGCAAGUCGAACGGCAGCACGGACUUCGGUCUGGUGGCGAGUGGCGAACGGGUGAGUAACAUAUCGGAACGUAUCCAAUAAUGGGGGAUAACUAAUCGAAAGGUUGGCUAUACCGCAUACGCCCUACGGGGGAAAGCAGGGGAUCUUCGGACCUUGCGUUAAUUGAGCGGCGGAUAUCUGAUUCGCGAGUUGGUGAGGUAAAGGCCCACCAAGGCGACGAGCAGUAGCUUGGCUGGGAGGACGACCAGCCACACGGGAACUGAGACACGGUCCAGACUCCUACGGUAGGCAGCAGUGGGGAAUUGUGGACAAUGGGCGCAAGCCUGAUCCGGCCAGUCCGCGUGAGUGAAGAAGGCCUUCGGGUUGUAAAGCUCUUUCGCAAGGGAAGAAAACUUACUUUCUAAUAAAGAGUGAGGUUGACGGUACCUUGAUAAGAAGCACCGGCUAACUACGUGCCAGCCGCCGCAGUAA